This 137-nucleotide small nucleolar RNA is filed under the name Ornithorhynchus anatinus (platypus). The record is from RNAcentral. Lineage: Eukaryota; Metazoa; Chordata; Mammalia; Monotremata; Ornithorhynchidae.
UCCCUCUCAGGGUCACACCUGGAGAGUUUCCAGUACUCUACCAGUUUCGGCUAUGGGAGAGAGAGUCAAGCAGAGGCCUACCCAUUCAUUCCUAGCUUGGGCAGUGGCUAGCAAGGGGAAGGCAAUCUGCUACAAGU